Long non-coding RNA from Cyanistes caeruleus (blue tit), 337 nucleotides. The record is from Ensembl. Lineage: Eukaryota; Metazoa; Chordata; Aves; Passeriformes; Paridae.
CCAGUUGUUAUGCAGAGAGAGAUCUGAGCCUGCACCUGACAAGAGGCUUGCUUCCACGAGUGACUUUCAUUUACCCCUGAAAGGGAAGCACCACUCCUGAGAUCUUGGUGUCUCUCUGUAGCAUUCUGCUGCUUGGGAAGGGUCUGUUUGGGCUCACAUUAGCGACCUCUUCACCCACAAAGGAAAAAUAAGGAUUUGUAUCCUGCUCUUCACUGGAAGCAUUUCAGCACUUAUCACUGACUCUGGAAGUAAUUUCCUCAGAGAUUUUCUUGGCUUCGUACACAAAAAACAUGACAGUCUUGCUGAAGAUGUUUGGGAGGGGAACUCAAACCCAUGA